GUCCACACCGUAAACGAUGAGUGCUAGUUGUCUGCAGGCAUGCCUGUAGGUGACGCAGCUAACGCAUUAAGCACUCCGCCUGGGGAGUACGGCCGCAAGGUUAAAACUCAAAGAAAUUGACGGGGGCCCGCACAAGCGGUGGAGCAUGUGGUUUAAUUCGAAGCAACGCGCAGAACCUUACCUACGCUUGACAUGCCUGGACGACUCCGAGAGAUCGGUUUCUCCCUUCGGGGCCAGUGCACAGGUGCUGCAUGGCU
Molecule: ribosomal RNA, 257 nt
Filed under: uncultured bacterium
Lineage: Bacteria
Description: partial 16S ribosomal RNA
Rfam family: Bacterial small subunit ribosomal RNA
Source: RNAcentral